This 241-nucleotide long non-coding RNA is filed under the name Homo sapiens (human). RNAcentral describes it as "HSALNT0006637". Lineage: Eukaryota; Metazoa; Chordata; Mammalia; Primates; Hominidae. The record is from RNAcentral.
GGUUGAACUGUAACAUGAAAGGAAUCCUAGACAUGUUUAGGAAUCAGCUGUCUCAUGAAGGAUAGAACAGACUUGGACGGGUAGGCACUGGAGUGAGGCAAGGAGCAUCCCACUGGGAACAAUGGAAGUGAUCCAGCUGCCCCUACAUUUUUCAUAGGGUCAGCAAGUAUUUAUUGGCCACCUAUUAUGUGUUACUGAGGAAACAAUGAGAGGAUGAAAAGCAGCUAUAUACAGCUGAGGU